GUGAAAAAAAAAAAUCUUAGUCUCUCUAUCUGUGAAAGUAUGAAGUGUGUGUGUGUGUGUGUGUGUGUGUGUGUGUGUGUGUGUGUGUGUGUUCGCCACUACACGCCGCUCGGUUUUCACGCUCCCACUCUCCACUGCUCACCUAACUCGCUGCGGUGUGAUCACGGACCAUGAUGCAUUUCACCGCACUGAUUUGCAUGGCACCUUCCGAUUGGCCCGAGGAAACGCUGGAUCCUGCGACCUGAAAGUGUGAAGUGGUACAGAAUAUACUGUACGUUACACCUUCCAGGUCGGGACGGCUCACGCUCUCGUUUCGAUUCAGCGUUCAGACCAGCCGCCGUCUCCGGGGAAGAAAGAAUAAUAAUAAUAAUAAGAAUAAUAAUAAUAAACAUUGUAGUUUAAAGCGUGUCCAUUUAAAUAAGUCUGUUAGCAGUGGAUAGUGUGUGUGGAUGGAUGGAUGGAUGGAUGGAUGGAUACGAAGUACAUUGUUGGAAAUUUGCAACAUCAUAUGAAAACCCAAGAAAAUAAACAGUGUGUGUAUGUAUGUAUUUAUUUAUUUAUUUCUGGGGUUGGAUUUGUUUUAAUAUUUCAGAUCUGGCCUCCUCUUCACUACACACACUCGCUGCACGGGGUCCACGUCAGAUUGAUUUAUCCAGAUGCGCUUUAUUCUUUUAGCCGAAAAAAAAAAAAAAGAGAAGAGGAUCACGGGAUCUUAAACAAUCCCAUUUGUUUCGUCUCGGAAUACGCGAGCGUCCCGCGACCCGAGACCCCUGACGGACGCGAAAGGAAGCGGGCUGUAAAAGUCGAAAGGGACGCGAUCGGAUCUGAUCUCGGCGGAAUGGAAGUCGAAGCGCGAGGGUGUGUAAAGAUCCCCCACUUCGUAUUCCAGAUUAAGGUCUGAAUGGCAGCGUAAUGCGUUUGCUCUGUGGUCCAUGGCAGCGCCGCUGACCCCCCUGCGUCUGCCUCUCCGGGGGUCUUUCACCUCAACAUUUACAACCAGCGGAGUGUGUCUGAAAGUGUGUGUGUGUGUGUGUGUGUGUGUGUGUGUGUGUGUGUGUGUGUGUGUACAUCAGGUAUACACAACCUGUUGUUUAAAGUUAUACAAAAAUCAUGAGGACGUUUUUCUCCCCGCUUUAGUUUUUGCUUGUUUUUUAAUAUAUUUACCUGAUGAUACACAACUCCGCCUCUAAACUUUAGGCCACGCCUCCUACCUGAGUCUGACCCCGGUGCUCGGUGACUAAUCCGUGGCUAGAGUCACACCAUUUCGUCCUUUUAAAAAUAAUAAUAAUAAUAAU
This is a long non-coding RNA of Ictalurus punctatus (channel catfish), 1295 nucleotides long. The record is from Ensembl. NCBI's taxonomy places the organism in Eukaryota, Metazoa, Chordata, Actinopteri, Siluriformes, Ictaluridae.